GUCUCCGGCGGCUCUCCGGGGCGCGGGGGCGCAGCCAUGAGCGAGUCCAGUGCCAGUGCGCUCCCGCCCGGCAGGCGCAGCAGGCAGACCUUCAUCCACCCAGGGUUUCUUGGAGGAGACCUGCCUCUUUUAUGGACAUUACACCAUUGAUGGAGUGAAAUUUCACAACUUCACCUAUGAUCUGCCCCUGGCUUAUUUAUUAAGCACAAUUGCCUACCUGGCCCUGAGCCUUCUUUGGAUAGUAAAAAGGUAAAGUUUAUCAGGCCAUUGUGUUCUUUUGGAAUUACUGUUGAUGGUUGAGUUUAUUCGCGGUCUGGGAGCCAUUGCCCAAGGGAUGAGCAGAGUUCAGAG
This 351-nucleotide long non-coding RNA is filed under the name Mustela putorius furo (domestic ferret). Its description in RNAcentral is "lncRNA (ENSMPUG00000028206.1)". The record is from RNAcentral. Lineage: Eukaryota; Metazoa; Chordata; Mammalia; Carnivora; Mustelidae.